GGAUGAACGCUGGCGGCGUGCCUAAUACAUGCAAGUCGAGCGAACAGAUGAGGAGCUUGCUCCUCUGACGUUAGCGGCGGACGGGUGAGUAACACGUGGAUAACCUACCUAUAAGACUGGGAUAACUUCGGGAAACCGGAGCUAAUACCGGAUAAUAUAUUGAACCGCAUGGUUCAAUAGUGAAAGACGGUUUUGCUGUCACUUAUAGAUGGAUCCGCGCCGCAUUAGCUAGUUGGUAAGGUAACGGCUUACCAAGGCAACGAUGCGUAGCCGACCUGAGAGGGUGAUCGGCCACACUGGAACUGAGACACGGUCCAGACUCCUACGGGAGGCAGCAGUAGGGAAUCUUCCGCAAUGGGCGAAAGCCUGACGGAGCAACGCCGCGUGAGUGAUGAAGGUCUUCGGAUCGUAAAACUCUGUUAUUAGGGAAGAACAAAUGUGUAAGUAACUAUGCACGUCUUGACGGUACCUAAUCAGAAAGCCACGGCUAACUACGU
Molecule: ribosomal RNA, 497 nt
Filed under: uncultured bacterium
Lineage: Bacteria
Description: partial 16S ribosomal RNA
Rfam family: Bacterial small subunit ribosomal RNA
Source: RNAcentral